Long non-coding RNA from Pungitius pungitius (ninespine stickleback), 795 nucleotides. RefSeq lists it as uncharacterized. The transcript has 3 exons. The record is from RefSeq and is a predicted model, not a curated record. NCBI's taxonomy places the organism in Eukaryota, Metazoa, Chordata, Actinopteri, Perciformes, Gasterosteidae.
AAGAGUACUGUAAUGAGUUGGAUGUAUAGCUUUGGCUGAAUGUGUCCCUUGUGCUUUUAGGAGGAUGGAGCAUGUUUGCCAUCCAGUAGUGACAGCUCGAAGUGCACAGGUGAGAGAGGGGAGACACAAGGAGAUGAUUGUACAUUGGUGUUUGUAGAAAGUCAAAGGAAUAUUACACUAAACUAGGGUUCUAUAGAUCUUUUUUUUAAUCCCAAAUUGAUCAUGAUGUUAAGGUUUAGGUCAUAUAACAAGUAUAUGGGGAUUUCAAAUGCAAAAUACAUACAUUCUUUUUUAAUGUCUCAUUUUGAAGUUAUUUGUUCAUCAUACACCAUAAUAACAUUUCCAUCCGCUUACAUAUUUGCAGAUGCUGAUUUCGGAGAAAUGAAGGAGCCUUUGACCGUGAACAUACUAACCAGGUAGUUCCGAUGAAAAGAUGCUGCUGGCUGGAGAGGUCUGGUGAAUCUCACACAAAAAAGGGUCACCACAAACAAAGAAGAAGUGGACCAAAGAGGAAAUCGAAGCUGUUGAAAGGACCUUAAUGGACUACAUCAAUGGUGGUCAGUGGUCAGAAAUGCAUCACAACAUCGUCACUGGCCGAUCAAGGGAUGAGUUGUCAAAAUAUAUAUUAAAAACUGAAUUUAAAAGAAUUAAAAAAAAGGUAAGCCGCAUUUUCAUCAGAUGGAAGAUUAAAUUCCUGGUGGACUGCCAGCACGUUUACAGACAUUGUUUACAGUAGUCUUAUUGCUCUCUGUUAUUGUUAUAUUUAUAUAAUAUUUGAAAGUUGAAAUGUUGUGC